UUUAAGUGCAACCAUGAGUUUUCGCGCUAAACUUUGAUCACCCGUCUUGUUUGAAUAUUUUUUAAUUACUAUUUUUGUUGUUAUGAAAUGAUAAAACAUGAAUAGUACUUUACUCAUGACUUAUGUUUUUAAAAUUUAUCAAAUAAGACGGACGAUGAAAGUUAGGCACGAAAAACCAUGGUUGCACUUAAA
This is a non-coding RNA of Oryza nivara, 192 nucleotides long. NCBI's taxonomy places the organism in Eukaryota, Viridiplantae, Streptophyta, Magnoliopsida, Poales, Poaceae. The record is from Rfam.